Molecule: long non-coding RNA, 2638 nt
Organism: Trachemys scripta elegans
Lineage: Eukaryota; Metazoa; Chordata; Testudines; Emydidae
Exons: 4
Source: RefSeq, a predicted model, not a curated record
GGACCUAGUUUGGUGUAUCACCCAGGGCCCAGGCACCGUUGGAUGGAAGCUGUGUGCAGUCUGCCACCAGACACAGUCAGGCCUCUCAGCAUCUGCCUACAUGCUUACAGCUCUCUUUCCUCCAACUCUGCCUGCAGCACUUAUUGCUAAUGAAACAGUGAGAAAAUACCCUGGAGCCAUUCAGUUGGCAAGAAAGUACCUAGGAGCCCUUGUCAUGUCAUUGUGCUAGGCGCAGUACAAACACAGAAGAAAGAACAUCCCUGCCCAAGCUUCCAGCCUUUCCUGUUUGGCGACUGUAAUGCACAGCAUCUAUGUUACGGAAACCCGGCUUCAGACAGAGUUGUAUCAGUUCCAAAGACUCAACAGAGAUGCACUGAAUUUAAAGAUUCUCAGGGCCUGUCAUCUGAGUUUUAUGGAUGUGUCUGGCUAACUUAAAUGAAGUCAAUUGGGCUGAGGCCUCCGCUUUUCAGUGAAUUGUCUGACAAGGCAGGGGCAGAUGGAGCUUAUGGAACCAGCUGCUCCUGGGCACAUUUUUUUUUCCCUGUGGUUGUGCUUUGUUGGCUCUCAGAUUUUCACAGAGCUCAUUCUAUCCACUUUCCAAGGAAGAGAAUAAAAGUCAUUCACCGAAACUGAACCCAGGCAUGUGGUGAUGAGAGUAAAAGCUGCCUGCAAAAGUAGGACUGGUUGGGGGAGAGAGGGAGGAAGGGAACAAGAAAUUUUUGAAGUAGAUUCUAUUUGUACAAUUGCCAGUCCCUCUUUCCCAUGUCACGUAUUUGUUUCCAUUCAUUAGGUUCUCAGAGAGGAAGGGGUAGUAAUUCUGUAAGACAUAUGAAACAAGGAACAAAAUAGUAAUGUACUUCUAAUGUGAGGCACUUUUGUUCCUUUCCUCGUGCCACUCAGAAGCACUGUCCCCCUCUCUGUACAAUCUACCUUUCACUGUAAAUAGCCCCAUGCACUAUUCUGUAUUGUUCAAAUCUCACCAUUUCUAUCAAGCGACAGAGCAAACUUUAGGAUGCCAACACCUACAAGUGUUUUCAUAUUAAUUUAAAACUAGUAUUUUUAUGAUGAGAGGGAAAGUGAUCCAGGCAGAAGAUUCACCCAGCAUAAUAAUGAUAUGGCAAAAAUGUGGGACUUGAUCAUCAAAGGUGUCGAGUGCUCUGACCCCAAUACAGCAAAACACUUAGCCAUGUGCUUCAAGUGAUGUGGUGGAUCAGGUCCCACUGCUCUGUACCUUGCAGGAUUAAGCCCUUAUCCAUUUGAAAAAGGUAAAUUAUAUUAGAGACACAAAAAAGUCUUCUAGCAGAAGGGAUUAAAACUGUUAUAGAAGACACUUCCAUCUCAUUAGCACACUGGUUUAAUUGCCAAGUGCUUAAGGCAAUUUGCAGACUAAUGGGUUCCUUCAAAUUUGAUAGAAAAUUAACAGCUGCUGUACAGGAGUAGCAAUUGCUUGAAAUAAGGUGAAAAAGCUUUCAAGUAGAAUCUCUUCUGUGCAACAAAUACAUUAAAACAUAUCAGCUAUAGCCCAAGAGAACUAUCUCCCAACUUUAAGGGACAACUGGAUCACCGUCAUAUAGAACAGAAAUUUUUUACCGAAAUAAAAGUAUGUAUGAUUUAAAGUGACUUAAGUGCAUCUACAUUAGGGGUUUGCACCUAUUAGUUUUCUAAUAUAGAUCAGCUUUUAAUGUGUUGAAGGACAGGAUUAAACAAAGAACCUUUUGGAAACUAAGAGAAGUAGUUAUAACAGACCAAAGUUGAGCUGGCUAGUUCCUGGAAUUUUGUUGGUUCCAUGCCGGCUGCAGUUUAAGAGCAGAUAAUUCUAAACUCCUUGAAUGUUUAGAACUGUGGCAGUGAAUGCACAAGGUUGGAGAUUAUCCCAUUUAUAGAAAACUGUCUCUAUAGCACAAAGGCAUGAUCCUAAGAUAGAGUAUGUUCCUGUCAAAAUUGGUCACCAGUAUCCAUCCUUUCUUGGCAGUGUAACAAUCCAUAAACUCCUUAAUUUUAUGUUUUCAUUACUCACCAUGUGUGAGCUCUGGGCAAUUUUUCAGGACUUCCCCAUUGCUCUAUUGUAAACAGCUGAGGACCAUUUGAACCUGGACAAAGAGUAAAAAAUCCCCACAAGUAUAGUUUAAGCACUGGAUUUUAGAUAGACUACAUAAAUGCUAUAACUCAAAAUUAAAUGUUUGAAAAUUAUAGGCUAAAUCCUCGGCUUGUAUAAUUGGUAGACUGCACUGACGUGAAAGUACACGUUAAAGAAGCUAAGUAUCUGGCCCUAUAUUUAUAAAUACUGUCUACUCAUUAUUCCAUACAGUUAAUUUUAGGUGCAGUGUAUAUAAUGCCACAAAAUAAGUACACAUUAACACUGCAACAGCGAUGUACUUGUGGGCUUCCAAUCAGCACAGCAGCGGCCAUAUGUACGCACCCUUUACCCUAUCAAGGUUAUUCUUGCAGAGAGCAAGAACGUGCCCUCCACAGCUGCUGUCAUAAAGCCUCCAUAGGUUUUUUUGGGUUGGGAAGGAGCAAUUCAAUGGACACUGGAGUGAAAACUUCCAUCUUGUAAUAACCCUGUCGUGCAUAAGUUGUCUUGCUGGCCCAUUAUCCUACUCAGAAUUGGUCCAACCCAUUUCAAAGAGCAAAAAUA